GUUUUUAUAGUGUAAUAAACACACCAUAUUUUCAUUGUGGAACUAAAGGUUCUAGUCCUUUUAAAAAUG
This 69-nucleotide transfer RNA is filed under the name Lysmata amboinensis (scarlet cleaner shrimp). RNAcentral's name for it is "tRNA-Glu". It matches the Rfam family "tRNA". Rfam says of the family: Transfer RNA (tRNA) molecules are approximately 80 nucleotides in length. Their secondary structure includes four short double-helical elements and three loops (D, anti-codon, and T loops). Further hydrogen bonds mediate the characteristic L-shaped molecular structure. tRNAs have two regions of fundamental functional importance: the anti-codon, which is responsible for specific mRNA codon recognition, and the 3' end, to which the tRNAs corresponding amino acid is attached (by aminoacyl-tRNA synthetases). tRNAs cope with the degeneracy of the genetic code in two manners: having more than one tRNA (with a specific anti-codon) for a particular amino acid; and 'wobble' base-pairing, i.e. permitting non-standard base-pairing at the 3rd anti-codon position. Lineage: Eukaryota; Metazoa; Arthropoda; Malacostraca; Decapoda; Hippolytidae. The record is from RNAcentral.